RNAcentral lists this long non-coding RNA (7106 nucleotides) under Podarcis lilfordi (Lilford's wall lizard). Lineage: Eukaryota; Metazoa; Chordata; Lepidosauria; Squamata; Lacertidae. The record is from RNAcentral.
GCCAGUGGUCAUGGAUGAUGGGAGUUGGAAUCCAAUGACAUCUGGAGGGCCAGUGCUCCAAGAAGUAACAUGCCCUUCUGUGUGGGAGAGAUGGCAGAAUACCUCUAUUUAGAAGAGGCAGUUCCCUCUGAGUUAGGACAAUGUCCUUUGGAGCAGUGGGUUCAAAACCUGCAGUCCUCCAGCCCCAGCCAGCAUGGCCAGUGCUCAGGGAUGGUGGAAGCUGGAGUCCAGCCAUGUCCAGAAGGCCACACAUUCCCCAGUUUUUUGAAAUACAAGGAACUGAAAUAAUUGCGUGAUAUGCCUCUGUUUAGCACUGCCUCCAUUCCCCCUUCCUCAGUUCAAUGUCAUGUCUAGGGGUGUUUUUUUGGGGGGGGGUGGCCAAGAUGCCAUGGGAGAGGAGUUCUUCCUCAUCCUCUCUGUUGUAGGUGAUAAUUCACUCACCCAAAGCACCGUGGCUCAGUGGUAGAACAUCUGCUUUGCUUGCAGAAUGACCCAGUUUCAAUCCGCACAUCUCCAGGACCCGUGCUUGAAACCCUGGAGAGUCGCUGCCAGUCAGUAGGGCCUGACUCAGUAUAAGGCAGCUUCCUAUAGUGUCCCCCCCAACCCUUGAUGCUUACUAAAAGGCGGCAAAUUGGUUAAGCAGAGCUUUGAAUAGAAGCUUCUUGAUUGCAAAUGGCAUUCCUCCACUGUGUAACGUUGUGUUCUACUGUAAAUAUUCCAGCUUCCUGCUGAGAUUGCCAAACGGACCUCCAAAAAUAGCACUGUGUUCUUCGCAAUGACCAAUUUAUUGGAAAAUGCAUUGUGUCCCCGCCACACACACUUCUUUAUUCUAUUUGUAAAGGUUUGUGGAGGGUUAAUAGGUCAUAAAUUUUUACUACCCAUCCCAAACCAGGAAGUGAUUCUUCUCUUAUGGCCCGUUGCGUCCUGAGUCUCUUGCGCUCUUCUAAAGAUGCUUAUCUGGCUCUUUGAUUGCCUGUUGCUCGGAGAUACGGCUCCAGUGGCGCCUUCCCUUAUCAAGGCCCAUCGCUUGGUCUUCCCAUCAGAAAGUUGCAAGUGUGUGUUUUUCAUCUUUAAUUGAUCUUACGGCACGUUUUAUAGCCUUCGCUUUUCCUUCUCCCUCCACCCCGGCAUGGAGGACAGUUCUUUCCUUUGUGUGAGAUGUGAUGGUGGCAUAACUGAUUCCAGGGGGAUAGCUAAGAGGUUUUUUUUUUUAAUUAAAAAAAUGAAAAAGGAGCUGCUGAAUUAUGAAUAUGGAUAUACAUGCAGAGCAGCCCCUGCACUGGAACACUGAAGGGGAAUUGGACAAAUGAGCCAAGGCAAUGCUUCACAAACAUCUGGCAGCGCUCUUGCAUCCUGGCCCCAAACCUUAAACAUUUUUAUUUUCAAAGUAUGUAAGAUGAAAGACAACCCGCCUGCAGAGGAACCCCUUUCCCACAGGGUCACUGUUCUGGGCAUAGGAGCUGGUUCCAUGUCUGAAAUGGACUUAUCAGCCCCACCCCAGCUAUGUCAAGGACUUGACUCUCCCUUACCCAAUUGCGGGCAGGAGUGGACAGCUGGAUCCUGGAGCUGCCAUUUAAAUUUCCCAUGAUGCCUUACAGCAGAGCUUUCCAAACUGUGUGCUGAGACACAUUAGUGUGUUGGCUGCAGUGUAGGUGCGUCGCGCAAACGCUCCCUGCACUGCUCCCGGGGCUGGAAAGGGGUUAGAUUGACCUCUGGUUUGCCAGUAAAACUGAAUGACUGUGUCGUGAAAUGAUGCAAUUCUAAAACUUGUGUCACUGACAUGAAAAGUUUGGAAAGCACUGCCUUACAGUGACACUACAUAGAGAGUAUUAGGAGAAAUUAACAUUGUGGCUUCUAGAGCCUGCCGCUUUCUUUAAAAACAGAAGAGGGGAACCAGGGCAAAUACCGGCAGUGCUACCCAACUAGGUUUCACUCAGAGUUGACCUGUUGAAGUUAAUGGACCUAACUUAUCCAUGCUCAUUAAAUUCAGUGGAACUACUGUGCAUCAAACCUUGUUGAAUGGCACUCUGUUGCCCCAGCAGCUGGGCAGGUGUGACUUGAAACAAGCAGAAGCAGAGCAAGAAAUGAAGUAGUGCAUUGGUGGGGGAACCUCAGCCACAGGGGGUGAAUGCGGCCAUCCAAGUCUCUCUAUCUGGCCCUCAGGGCACCCUCCAGGCCACGUACCCUUCCCAGCCAUGCCUCCUCUCAGAGGUGAAGAGAGGUUGUUCCUCUCAAGUCCUGCUUGUGGGUUUCCCAUAGGCAACUGGUUGGCCAAUCUGAAAACAGGAUGCUGGACUCGCUGGGCCCCUUUUGGCCUGUUCCAGAAGGGCUCUUCUAGGCUGGCAAAUACCUAUAUUGAUUGUAGCUGUCAAGCUUGGUGCCUAGCUUUGCCACAGGAUCAAACUCCAACAUAGGUAGGAGAUGGCCAAAUGGGUCUGAAACAAGGAGAAGUGUCCACAGAUAGGCUGGAGGUCAUAUGUGGGAUCAGGCAGGGCAAGGCAAGGCACAGCCACAAAGUCUGCUUGGCUCCUCCAUGUGAGAAGUCACUCAGCCUGAAGAACUGGCUUGGCUGGAAAGUUUGUCUAGAAACCUGUCAUCCCUCGAUUGGUUUUUGAUCUCUUGUUUUGCACACAAAAGGUCUCAGGUUCAGUUCCAAGACUCUGCAGGUCAGGAUUCUCCUGCCUGAGACCAUGUAGACACUGAUUCUACUAGAGGGACCAAUGGUCUGACUCUGCUUCCUGUGCCCUUCAGCCACAGAGCCUAGUCUGGUUUGCUAAGGGACCAAAGCGCCAAUAGCACAGCAGGGUAAGAUGCUGGAGACCCUGGUUCAAAAUACAAACACACACAUCAGCACCUCAUAGUAGUUUCAAGGUUAACCCAGCCUUGCAUCUUUGAUGCUCAGAUUUAUGAAUGCCAGUUGCUGGAAACCACAGGAAAGGAAAACGUUCUUGUUCUUGGGUUCUGCUUGUGGGCUUCCCACAGGCAUCCAGGUGGCCAGUGUGAGAACAGGGCUUUGGACUGGGUGGGCCUUCUUAUGUUCUCAUGCAUGGAUUCCACCAUGAGAUAGAAUACAAGGUGGGCUAUGCACACACACAUACACAUGUCUUUGAAGGGGUGUGCCACGUGUCACCUGCCUUGUUGCAUUGUGAAAUCUAGCUGUGCAAACAGUCCCGUCUGUCAAGUCUGUAUAAACAAACACUGCGCUAGUAAAAGCACUCAACUGGCGGGCUGGUGACAGCCUUCAAAGGGCUCGGCAUUCGGCAUCUUGCUAUUUAAAGGCCUAGCCUCACGGGCAGAAUUUCAGAAAUGAUGGGAGCUGCCAGGCACUGCAGUCUUGCAUUAUGAUAAUAUUGGCAUUGCAGCUGAAGUUGGGGCAGGUGGCGGUGGUGGUGAGAGGGAGAAUGGCUCUUGCAAAAUGUUUAAGCUAGUGACAUCAACCUGUUUGGCCCACAUCGGUGAUUCAGAACAUGCGGAUGGUUUAACUGCCUCUAGAGACCGAGGCUAAAACAAGAGACUCCUAAAGGUUUUUGCGUGGUGUCUAGAGAGCAGGGGUUGCAAACCCAUUGCCCUCCAGAUGUUGGGACUCCAACUCCCAUCAGCCCCAUCCAGCAUGGCCAAAGGUCAGGGGUGAUGGGAAUUGUAGUCUAGCAACGUCUGCCAGGUCCUGGGCAGUAGCAGGGUUUGUGCAGCUGGGUGGCAGAGGAUUCUGGGAAGUGUAAGAGGACCCACUUGGGUGUGCCUCACAGGGAGUCUGUGCAGACCCAACACUCCCAAGGAAACUCCCAAGGAGCCACAGGGUACCCUAGAACACAGCUGAGAAGCUAGUAAGACGGUAGGAAAAGCCUUGCUGGAUCAGGCAACUGGCCUAUAUUGUUUCCAGCAACUGAUAUUCAGAGACAUACAGCCUCCAAGAGUGGAGGAAGAACAUAUCCAUCAUGGAUGCUAGCUAUUGAUAACCUUAUCCUUCAUGAAUUUGUCCAAUCCUUUUUUGAAGUCAUUCAAGUUGGUGGCCUUCACUGCCUCUCGUAGGAAGAAAUUCCAUGCUUUGUGCAUCAUGAGAAGAAAUCCUUCUAUUCUGAAUAACACCAACAUAUUCAUAUAGAUUAAUUCUCUCUCUCUCUCUCUCUCUCUCUCUCUCACACACACACACACACACACACGGAAGAGAUAGUUGGCCAAAAUGAUGGUCCAAGAUAUGAGUGGGGGGAACAAAAAGCUGCUUAGGAUUUUGUCCUCCUGAAACACAGUGGCAGCUCUGAAGUUGUGUGUAUGCGUAGGAGGAGCCUUGGAUUUCCUAGGGUCAUGAGGCAGGGCUCAAUUUGUGGACGGCAGAAUCAAGAGUCAGCAGCUCGGCGCCACGGCUGUCCCCUGCUUGGCUCGAAAUGUUGUUAUGGCCCUGGAUAAGUGACAGAAACGAUAGCAUCAAAAAUGUACACUAGUAAAAUCUUGUUAAGGAAACGCCACCGUUGGGGAGGGGCAAGGAGUGGGUGAAGGAGGUGAUCACCCUUGGAGGUGAUCACAAAGCAAGAAAAUUGGUACUGGGGGAAGCAGAGUGUUCUGAUGCAUUUGGGUGCUUCAGGAUAAUAAAUUAAAUUCUGCCACUUAAUGUGGUGAUCGCAAAGCAACCCCAAACCGUGCGCGGGUAAUGGAAAUGCGCGCAAAGAUUAUGCGGGGCAUUUCUGUAUCCUUAAGGAGGUAAAUGUGAGCUGUUGUUGGAGGGGAGGUUGCCUGCAUUAAAUCAGGGAGGGGUGGUGGCCUUUUGAGGGGGGAUGCAGCUUUAAAUGGAAGAUUAAUGUACAUCAGGGGAAGUAUAUCCCCCGGAGGAAGGAGAGGCACGGAAAUUCCAGAUGCUGCUCCAGAUUGACAAAGACAAAAUGCCAGGUUUCCAAAUUUAGGAUUUUACCAAAAAAAAAAGCACAGUGCCUAGCUCUUAGUAGUCCUGAUAGGAGAGAGAGAGAGAAAGACAGAGAGAAGAUUUGUAUGUGCGAGAGAGAAGACACAUACUACUGCAGUAGUAUGUGUGUUCUGUUAAGUUCACAGUAAUUAUGUUGUUGUUGUUGUUCUAAAUGUUUCUAUAAUGCCUUAAAGCAGUGGCUCCAGGGAAUCCUUUCCACUCUGAUCUAUGGCUGAAGAAUUAUUCUGCCUUUGUUUCACAGCUCUGUGCUGCAAAGGGCUUUGGGAAGUGUCCCAGGGUGCACACUCCAUUCACAGAGGGUGGUUGGCUAGCCGGCUGAGCCACCCUGUUGAGCUGUUCUGCAUGGGUCCGCCCUACAACCAGCCCAGGACUCUCUUCUUGCAGGAGGAGGUCAGUAAUAGAAGGCAAACUGUCUUUCACUGACGUUCCUCCUCCCUUACUGACCUGCGCACGUUAAGGGAACCGCUGAGGAUUGAGCCACUGAGGAUGUUAGGGGUAGGAGAAUCUGGCAAUCUCAUUUUCUUGCAUUUCCCCACUCUUUGGUUCAGUCCCCCACAUUUCUGCAUCAGCUGGUGAGGUUGACUAACAAAAUAGAAAUGUUAAAUUAUUAUAGCAAAACAUUUCUUCUUCCGCCUUCAUCAGUUGCUCUGAUAAAAAUGAUGUUUCCAAAAUUUAUUUAUUGUAUUUAUUAAAUUUAUAUAUCACCCUUCACCUGACGAUCUCAGGGCAGUUCACAAGAUGCAAAUACAAUAAAAGCACAAAUAAAUAGUUAGAACAAAAACAAACCAAUAACACCCCCCCUCCCACAAACACAUUUAAGAGAAGUUGAAGGGGAACAUUUUCGCUUGGCUUAGUCAUCAGACGAACCUCCCUGGGGAUUGUUAUACAGCUUUUAGAAUCGGAUGCACUGGCUGGAGCUGAUGGGAGUUGUAGUCCAGAACAUCUGGAGGGCGCCACAUUGCUGAAGGCUGAAAUAAUAGUUUGCCUGCAGCUGCCUAGUACAGUGGAACCUCGUAUUACGGACGGGAUCCAUUCCGGAGGCCCGUCCAUAACACGGAACUGACGCAAGCCGAAGCACCACGUCUGGGCAUGUGUGUGGUGCGAUUUAGUGCUUCUGCGCAUGUGCGAGUGGCGAAACCCGGAAGUGACCCGUUCUAGUACUUCCGGGUUGCUGCGGGACGCAACACGAAGACACGUAACCUGAAGCAGACACAACAUGGGGUAUGACUGUAAAUUCCUAUGCUAUGUGCAUGGGAUUGUGGGCACGCGCACAGCCAAACAGCUGCCAUGGCCACUCACAUUAAGGAAGUGGAUAUGAUAAUGAGCUCGAUUUGCACACUUUGUUCUCAUUGCAAGAUUUGAACUCCUUUGGGAUCAAAUCUGGAAUGGAAAAGUGAACAGAGAAUCAAGGAGUCAUACAUUAGCACAGCCCUCCAGACAUCAUGGACUCCCCUCAUCAUCCCUGACCGUUGGCCACACUGGGUGGGGCUGAUGGGAGUUGGAGUCCGACAGCAUCAGGACAGUGCCAACUUGGAGAAGGCUGCACUAGAGGAAUUCCAUGUAAGGUCAGGCUGAGGCAUAUGUAGCCAAAAGGCAAGGCAAAAUCAUUGGGGAAAGCAGCAGGCCAAUAUCAGUUCCCAGAAAGGCAGCCCAGGUGGGUAAGGUGAGAAAGGAACAGGAAGCAAAGACCGAUCAGGCUAGAGAACAAGGGGAAAGCUUGCAGAGUCAGGAGAGUGUAGCAGGGAGAGGCAGGGGCAGAGUGAGGAACAAAGGCUAUGAGCUUUGUUCGCUGCUUCCAUGUGCAGACUGAGGUCUGAUCUGUGUGUUCAGCAGAAUGAGGUGGUGGAGUGGUUUGUACCACUUCAAACACAGACGUGGGAGAUGUCAUUUUCGAAUAACUAUGAACAACAGAAGGGGUCUGGGUUCCUGCCUGUCCCUUGCUGUGCUAUUUUUCCUUUUGCAACAGAGUCUCUCUCUCUUGUGGCAGAGCAUGUGGUGGGGGAGACAAUUCUAGCAUUUUCAGUCUGGUCCCAGUUUGCCACCUCAAGUCUCAGCCCACCUGUUCCCCACCUAAAUUCUCUGGCAUGUGUGGACCAGGCCAAAGAUGGCAGACAGGCAGAGGGAGUUACACAGAUACAUACCCACCAGCAUUUCUCUGAUGAAAAUAGGGACUUCCUACAUCAACAUCAUC